GGCGUUCUGGAACCGUAGCUUACUGUGUGGCUUGGUGGAUAGUGAGGAUCUUGGAACCCGGAAAGGUGAAGGGUACUUCCGGGGUAGGAGUGAAAUCCUGUAAUCCCCGGGGGACCACCUGUGGCGAAGGCCUCUCACCAGAACGGCUCCUACAGUGAGGGACGAAAGCUGGGGGAGCCAACCGGAUUAUAUACCCGGGUAGUCCCAUGCCGUAAACCAUGCGCGUUAUUGUGUGUCGGCGACCACCAGACCUUGACGUGCCGAAAGGAAACCGUGAAACGUCCCGCCUGGGAAGUACGGUCGCCAGGAUGAAACUUAAAGGAAUUGGCGGGGGAGCACCACAACAGGUGGAGCCUGCGGUUUAAUUGGACUCUCCGCCGGGAAUCUCACCGGAUAAGACAGCUCGAAUGAUUGUGCCGGGUGAAUACUCUGCUUGACUAGCUGAAAGGAGGUGCAUGGCCGUCCUCAGUUCGCUACUGUGAAGCAUCCUGUGUUAGUCAGGCGACGAGCGAGACCCACCCCCACAGUUGCCAGCUUGACCUCCGGGGAGAUGGGGACACCGUUGGGACCGCCUCUGCUAAAGAUGAGAGAAGAAUGGGCAACAGUAUGUACGCAUGCCCCCCAAAAA
Molecule: ribosomal RNA, 628 nt
Filed under: Methanoculleus marisnigri
Lineage: Archaea; Methanobacteriati; Methanobacteriota; Methanomicrobia; Methanomicrobiales; Methanomicrobiaceae
Description: bacterial SSU rRNA
Rfam family: Archaeal small subunit ribosomal RNA
Source: RNAcentral